GACGAACGCUGGCGGCGUGCUUAACACAUGCAAGUCGAACGGGCCUGUCUUCUUUUUUGGGGGUGGGUUGAGUGGCGAACGGGUGAGUAUCACGUGAGUAACCUGCCCUUCGGUCCUGGAUAACCGCUUGAAAGGGCGGCUAAUACGGGGUGGUCCGGUUGGUCCGCAUGGGCUGGUCGGGAUAGAUUCACUGUUUUUGGUGUUUCGGCGGGGGAUGGGCUCGCGGCCUAUCAGCUUGUUGGUGGAGUGAUGGCCUACCAAGGCGGUGACGGGUAGCCGGCCUGAGAGGGUGGGCGGCCACACUGGGACUGAGAUACGGCCCAGACUCCUGCGGGAGGCAGCAGUGGGGGGUAUUGCACAAUGGGCGGAAGCCUGAUGCAGCGACGUCGCGUGAGGGAUGGAGGCCUUCGGGUUGUGAACCUCUGUUUCCGGUGGUGAAGGCCCUGUCCGUGUGGUGGGGUUGACGGUAGCCGGGGAUGAAGCGCCGGCUAACUACGUG
This 499-nucleotide ribosomal RNA is filed under the name uncultured bacterium. RNAcentral's name for it is "partial 16S ribosomal RNA". It matches the Rfam family "Bacterial small subunit ribosomal RNA", at positions 28 to 507 of the family's 1533-position model. The record is from RNAcentral.